This 392-nucleotide RNase P RNA is filed under the name human gut metagenome. RNAcentral describes it as "Bacterial RNase P class A". It matches the Rfam family "Bacterial RNase P class A". Rfam says of the family: Ribonuclease P (RNase P) is a ubiquitous endoribonuclease, found in archaea, bacteria and eukarya as well as chloroplasts and mitochondria. Its best characterised activity is the generation of mature 5'-ends of tRNAs by cleaving the 5'-leader elements of precursor-tRNAs. The record is from RNAcentral.
GGUGGUCGGACAGCCGCGCCGCGGAAGGUAAAAUCAGACGGUGAGGAAAGUCCGGGCUUCAUGGAAACAAGGCACCGGAUAACGUCCGGCCGGAGUAAUCCGAGGGAAAGCGCCACAGAAAAUAUACCGCCGAAAUAUAUUUUCGGUAAGGUUGAAAUGGCGAGGUAAGAGCUCACCGCUGCAACAGCAAUGUCGCAGGCAUGGCAAGCCCUGCUUGAUGUAAGACCAAAUAAGGAGUAAUCAGAAUUUAUCUGACUGAGAGUUUCCACUCUGUCCAGAGGUAGGUCGCACGAACAAACCGGCAACGGUUUGGCUUAGAUGAAUGGCUGUCGCGACAAUCUUUAUCGCAAGAUAAAGCAAGUGUUGACACAAAACCCGGCUUAUAGACCGCC